CACGUAGGGCGCAAGCGUUGUCCGGAAUUAUUGGGCGUAAAGCGCGUGUAGGCGGCUUUGCAAGUCGGGUGUGAAAGCCCUCGGCUCAACCGAGGAAGUGCGCCCGAAACUGCAGAGCUUGAGUACCGGAGAGGAUGGCGGAAUUCCCCAAGUAGAGGUGAAAUUCGUAGAUAUGGGGAGGAACACCGGUGGCGAAGGCGGUUCUCUGGGCCUGUACUGACGCUGAGGAACGAAAGCGUGGGGAGCGAACAGG
RNAcentral lists this ribosomal RNA (253 nucleotides) under uncultured bacterium. Its description in RNAcentral is "partial 16S ribosomal RNA". It matches the Rfam family "Bacterial small subunit ribosomal RNA", at positions 524 to 776 of the family's 1533-position model. The record is from RNAcentral.